Molecule: ribosomal RNA, 397 nt
Filed under: uncultured bacterium
Lineage: Bacteria
Description: partial 16S ribosomal RNA
Rfam family: Bacterial small subunit ribosomal RNA
Source: RNAcentral
AUACGUAGGGGGCGAGCGUUGUCCGGAAUGACUGGGCGUAAAGGGCGUGUAGGCGGCCGAUUAAGUCUGGAGUGAAAGUCCUGCAUUCAAUGUGGGAAUUGCUUUGGAGACUGGUUGGCUUGAGUGCGGAAGAGGUAAGUGGAAUUCCCAGUGUAGCGGUGAAAUGCGUAGAGAUUGGGAGGAACACCAGUGGCGAAGGCGACUUACUGGGCCGUAACUGACGCUGAGGCGCGAAAGCGUGGGGAGCGAACAGGAUUAGAUACCCUGGUAGUCCACGCGGUAAACGAUGAAUGCUAGGUGUUGCGGGUAUCGACCCCUGCGGUGCCGGAGUAAACACAAUAAGCAUUCCGCCUGGGGAGUACGGCCGCAAGGUUGAAACUCAAAGGAAUUGACGGGG